AACGAACGCUGGCGGCAUGCCUAACACAUGCAAGUCGAACGAGACCUUCGGGACUAGUCGCGCACGGGUGCGUAACGCGUGGGAACCUGCCCUUAGGUUCGGAAUAACUCCCCGAAAGGGGUGCUAAUACCGGAUAAUGUCCUCGGACCAAAGAUUUAUCGCCUUUGGAUGGGCCCGCGUUGGAUUAGCUAGUUGGUAGGGUAAAAGCCUACCAAGGCGACGAUCCAUAGCUGGUCUGAGAGGAUGAUCAGCCACACUGGAACUGAGACACGGCCCAGACUCCUACGGGAGGCAGCAGUGGGGAAUAUUGGACAAUGGGCGAAAGCCUGAUCCAGCGAUGCCGCGUGAGUGAUGAAGGCCUUAGAGUUGUAAAGCUCUUUUACCCGGGAUGAUAAUGACGGUACCGGGAGAAUAAGCGCCGGCUAACUCCGUG
This 433-nucleotide ribosomal RNA is filed under the name uncultured bacterium. RNAcentral describes it as "partial 16S ribosomal RNA". It matches the Rfam family "Bacterial small subunit ribosomal RNA", at positions 29 to 507 of the family's 1533-position model. The record is from RNAcentral.